Cucumis melo (muskmelon) is the source of this 179-nucleotide long non-coding RNA. RefSeq lists it as uncharacterized. The record is from RefSeq and is a predicted model, not a curated record. The transcript is spliced from 4 exons. Lineage: Eukaryota; Viridiplantae; Streptophyta; Magnoliopsida; Cucurbitales; Cucurbitaceae.
CUCCACUUCGGGUCACGGUGAGUCUUCGGUAAUAGGGGUUUGACGCUCAAGUUCACGGUCCCACGACAAGUUCAUUUGGGAAUAGCUCCCUUUACUCGGGUGGAUCUGUUGAGCGUGGACUCGAUCGAGGGGCAUAACCAAGUAUCAGGUAAGGGUACAGCGAGGGGCAGACCGACGAG